GACGAACGCUGGCGGCGUGCUUAACACAUGCAAGUCGAACGGAAAGGCCCUGCUUUUGUGGGGUGCUCGAGUGGCGAACGGGUGAGUAACACGUGAGUAACCUGCCCUUGACUUUGGGAUAACUUCAGGAAACUGGGGCUAAUACCGGAUAGGAGCUCCUGCUGCAUGGUGGGGGUUGGAAAGUUUCGGCGGUUGGGGAUGGACUCGCGGCUUAUCAGCUUGUUGGUGGGGUAGUGGCUUACCAAGGCUUUGACGGGUAGCCGGCCUGAGAGGGUGAGCGGCCACAUUGGGACUGAGAUACGGCCCAGACUCCUACGGGAGGCAGCAGUGGGGAAUAUUGCACAAUGGGCGGAAGCCUGAUGCAGCAACGCCGCGUGCGGGAUGACAGCCUUCGGGUUGUAAACCGCUUUCGCCUGUGACGAAGCGUGAGUGACGGUAAUGGGUAAAGAAGCACCGGCUAACUACGUG
RNAcentral lists this ribosomal RNA (468 nucleotides) under uncultured bacterium. RNAcentral's name for it is "partial 16S ribosomal RNA". It matches the Rfam family "Bacterial small subunit ribosomal RNA", at positions 28 to 507 of the family's 1533-position model. The record is from RNAcentral.